RNAcentral lists this ribosomal RNA (703 nucleotides) under Vibrio sp. RNAcentral describes it as "bacterial SSU rRNA". It matches the Rfam family "Bacterial small subunit ribosomal RNA", at positions 345 to 1040 of the family's 1533-position model. The record is from RNAcentral. Lineage: Bacteria; Pseudomonadati; Pseudomonadota; Gammaproteobacteria; Vibrionales; Vibrionaceae.
GAGGCAGCAGUGGGGAAUAUUGCACAAUGGGCGCAAGCCUGAUGCAGCCAUGCCGCGUGUAUGAAGAAGGCCUUCGGGUUGUAAAGUACUUUCAGUCGUGAGGAAGGCAUUAACGUUAAUAGCGUUAGUGUUUGACGUUAGCGACAGAAGAAGCACCGGCUAACUCCGUGCCAGCAGCCGCGGUAAUACGGAGGGUGCGAGCGUUAAUCGGAAUUACUGGGCGUAAAGCGCAUGCAGGUGGUUUGUUAAGUCAGAUGUGAAAGCCCGGGGCUCAACCUCGGAACCGCAUUUGAAACUGGCAGGCUAGAGUACUGUAGAGGGGGGUAGAAUUUCAGGUGUAGCGGUGAAAUGCGUAGAGAUCUGAAGGAAUACCAGUGGCGAAGGCGGCCCCCUGGACAGAUACUGACACUCAGAUGCGAAAGCGUGGGGAGCAAACAGGAUUAGAUACCCUGGUAGUCCACGCCGUAAACGAUGUCUACUUGGAGGUUGUGGCCUUGAGCCGUGGCUUUCGGAGCUAACGCGUUAAGUAGACCGCCUGGGGAGUACGGUCGCAAGAUUAAAACUCAAAUGAAUUGACGGGGGCCCGCACAAGCGGUGGAGCAUGUGGUUUAAUUCGAUGCAACGCGAAGAACCUUACCUACUCUUGACAUCCAGAGAACUUUUCAGAGAUGAAUUGGUGCCUUCGGGAACUCUGAGACAGGUG